Long non-coding RNA from Xenopus tropicalis (tropical clawed frog), 932 nucleotides. RefSeq lists it as uncharacterized. NCBI's taxonomy places the organism in Eukaryota, Metazoa, Chordata, Amphibia, Anura, Pipidae. The transcript has 2 exons. The record is from RefSeq and is a predicted model, not a curated record.
CUAAGCUGCGUGGAAAUAGUCUACUUUCACUUUGAAACCUUGUGACUGUUCGUGUGUUUGCAAUGAACCAAGGAAGGCUACAAUUACACCUGGUUGAACUGAAUGAACCCUUCGCUGAUUCCUCGGGGCCUUCAUCCAGUCUCCAACUUUAUAUUUAUGAAAAUAAUGACAUUUAGCUGAAUGUCCCCUUGCCCAGCCCCGUGCAAACCCCUUAGUACAAAUUGUCCUUGUUAAUUGCGCUUUAUUCUUUAUCUUUGUCUUCUGCAGUAGUAGUAGGUGCAGUGGAGUCUUCCCCUGCGUCGGGGGUCUGGCCACUUUCCUCCUUGUGUUCUUUCUUCCAUUUCAUUCUCCUGUUCUGGAACCAGAUUUUGAUCUGCCUUUCAGUCAGACACAGGGCGUGUGCAAUUUCUAUUCUCCGCCUGCGGGUUAGGUAGCGAUUAAAGUGAAAUUCUUUCUCCAGCUCCAGAGUCUGGUAACGGGUGUAGGUCUGGCGACCCCUCUUUCUGUCCGGACCUUAAAGUUAUAGAGACAGUAUUAGACUUUGAGGGAUAUUGGCCUUUAUACAAACCCAAUGUUGCAGUCAUUCUGCCCCACUUCACAUAAACCCUAUUAUAACUGCCUUACUAAUACACUGGGCCUGAUCAUCGUCUGGAUCUUCCUACUUUUUGCUCUAUAGUCAUUCUUAUAUUAAAUACUUUCAACCAGUUAACUACUUUAUUAAACCUACCUGUAACUAAAUACACAUAUAUACAAUAUUAUUCAUUUUCUAGGUCAUAAGCAUUCCCUUCCCUUGUGUUUAAUUUUAUCGAGAGCAUUUAAUAGAAGAUGAGUAUGAAAAAGAAAUGCCCAUUAAGCUCACCCCUUUGUUGAUGUAAAUGCUGCCUAAUUUUCAAGUAUCUUCUUAAGAUACAAAAUAUAUUUAUCUAUAUCCA